GAAUAUACCGCCACUCUGUUGCGCCGUGGGCUCAGUUAAAGUGUCGAGUACUAAAUGUGGUUGUGCUCCUGGAUUUCGUUACGCUCCUGGUUUUAGCAGUUCCUGUCUACGAUGUCCGUCAGACACAUAUCAGGAUGAGAAAGGCCAAAGGGAGUGCAAGAAGUGUCAGGAGAGAAACGAAAAUUUAACAAGACAGGAGUGUCGAGCGAGUCCCACUGUUUAGAUGCAAAUCCUCUGCAAAUUCAUGACCAAGUAGUCAAGUUCCUGCCUGAAAACAUCAACAACGAAACGGUAGUCGCGAAUGUUACUGUGAGCGCAGUUCUGUCUACCCUUGUUCGACCAUUUGUGUUUUACAUAGAAAGGGUCACACAACAACGACAAUAUGGCGAGAUGUCAAGGCGAAAGCAGCGAAAGGUUGAAGUUGGCUCUCAGUGUAUAGAGCCUGGUCCCUGUCCUCAAAUCUCCGUCGAUUUCUGUUUCGAGGCAGGCACCGUCAGACCAGAAAAUUAUUUUUGCAUUCACCGAUUCACUGGACGAAUAAGGGUAACGCAAAACUUUGUUUUCAAGGAAGGUGAAGAAUUCGAUUUACAAAUCC
Stylophora pistillata is the source of this 595-nucleotide long non-coding RNA. NCBI's taxonomy places the organism in Eukaryota, Metazoa, Cnidaria, Anthozoa, Scleractinia, Pocilloporidae. The record is from RefSeq and is a predicted model, not a curated record.